This 572-nucleotide ribosomal RNA is filed under the name uncultured Eurotium. Its description in RNAcentral is "eukaryotic LSU rRNA". It matches the Rfam family "Eukaryotic large subunit ribosomal RNA", at positions 62 to 648 of the family's 3401-position model. The record is from RNAcentral. Lineage: Eukaryota; Fungi; Ascomycota; Eurotiomycetes; Eurotiales; Aspergillaceae.
AAACCAACCGGGAUUGCCUCAGUAACGGCGAGUGAAGCGGCAAAAGCUCAAAUUUGAAAUCUGGCCCCUCCGGGGUCCGAGUUGUAAUUUGUAGAGGAUGCUUCGGGUGCGGCCCCCGUCUAAGUGCUCUGGAACGGGCCAUCGGAGAGGGUGAGAAUCCCGUCUGGGAUGGGGUGCCCGCGUCCGUGUGAAGCUCCUUCGACGAGUCGAGUCGUUUGGGAAUGCAGCUCUAAAUGGGUGGUAAAUUUCAUCUAAAGCUAAAUACUGGCCGGAGACCGAUAGCGCACAAGUAGAGUGAUCGAAAGAUGAAAAGCACUUUGAAAAGAGAGUUAAACAGCACGUGAAAUUGUUGAAAGGGAAGCACUGGCAACCAGACUCGCCCACGGGGUUCAGCCGGCCUUCGGGCCGGCGUACUUCCCCGGGGGGCGGGCCAGCGUCGGUUUGGGCGGCCGGUUAAAGGCCCCCGGAAUGUAACGUCCCUCGGGGCGCCUUAUAGCCGGGGGUGUCAUGCGGCCAGCCUGGACCGAGGAACGCGCUUCGGCACGGACGCUGGCAUAAUGGUUGUCAAUGAC